GAAUUUAGAUAGAGGGCCUGUUCCAGGAAGAAGAGCCAUCACCAGAGACAACUACACGAACAUGAGCCAGGAAUCUUAAAGAGACUAGGCACUAGCCGGCAGAGACGGAAGAAAAGGAGUGCGAGAGAAGAGGGAGAUGAAAUCUAACAGCAGUUGAAGAGGUUGUGAGGCAAAGACUGGAACCAACAAUUCUAGAGCAGCACUCAGUGAGAGAUUUGUCUGCUCAGUCCUGCUUCCACUCCAAAGACCAGGUUUUCCACAGCCGCUCAAACCCAAGCUGUUGCCCCAUCGUCGCCGGGAGCACCCCACUUUCGUACAUCCCUCCCUCGCAUCGGUUAGAUCACGUUCUCCAACUUGAACGUGUUCUUUGUCAUUUAGG
Molecule: long non-coding RNA, 379 nt
Filed under: Equus caballus (horse)
Lineage: Eukaryota; Metazoa; Chordata; Mammalia; Perissodactyla; Equidae
Description: lncRNA (ENSECAG00000047403.1)
Source: RNAcentral